RNAcentral lists this long non-coding RNA (1424 nucleotides) under Gouania willdenowi (blunt-snouted clingfish). RNAcentral describes it as "lncRNA (ENSGWIG00000019301.1)". The record is from RNAcentral. Lineage: Eukaryota; Metazoa; Chordata; Actinopteri; Blenniiformes; Gobiesocidae.
GUUCUCUGCUUUAGUCGUAACCUAAUAUUUAGCAGCGCUAACUGCGUAGCCUUUCCCUCUCUGCUAACAGGACAGAUGUCAUCGCCCCAAAUAGUUUGAGUCAUCGUACGCCUCCACACACCCCUGAGUAACCCAAGGACAUCAGCGUGUGGAGAGGGCUGUGAUUCUAAAUCUCAAGAUGUCGUGGCAACUUUAGUGUUCGAUGUCUCUCUCGGGGGACACGAGGAGGAAAAGAGAGAUUUAACAGCCUGGAAGAAAUGUGGCGUUCCUCUAAAAGUCCAUUGGAAGCGGAUGGCGCUGGUUUCACAGCACGCGGAGAAAAAAAAAAAAAAAAAAAAAAAAGAAAAGACAGUGAGUGAAAAGUUGUUUGCUUUCUCACUUGUGAUAAAGUUGCUGAAUAUUUGUUUUCUUAAUUAAUGAGACGAGCUUUGUGUUUUUCCUUUUUUUUGUUGUUUUGUUGUUUUGUCAGAUGAAGAAGAGGAGGAGGAAGAGGAGGUGGAGGACAGGUGGGAGCGGGGGCGUUCUCUGAGCGACACAUCACAGAACGUAUGAUCACAUAAUGGAUGUAUGGGGGGGGCUGAGUACCUGCAGGGGGGCCAGCGUCCGAGUGAGAGCGAAACAACAACAACAUCAGAGAAAAAGGAGAAGGAUUGUCCACCACAUGACAGCAGAAAAGUCAGAUGGAGACGCGUAAAAGAUCAGCCUGGAUUUAAAAGAUGGAAAGAGAGACUUUCCUCUUCUUCUAUAAAGAUGGAAAGAAGCAGACAUAGUGAUGGAGUGAUGGAGGGGCAGCACCAGCCAAGCUCUGCUUAUCCUCCUCCUCCUCCUCCUCCUCCUCCUCCUCACAUACACAGUGUGCAUUAAUGUGCGUUAGUGCCAUUGUUCCGUUUGUGUAUUUAUUGCAUAUUUAGUGGUUCUGCAGCCGAUUCCAAAAAGGCUCAAACUAAAAGUAGCGAAAAGAAAAGAAAGAGUAAAAGAAGAAGAGCAUGUUUGAUAGGAGUUGUUACCCCAGAACGAACAAGGAUAAAGUUUCACAUUAAACAGAUUUAUUUUCUUAAAGCACGCUGAUAAUCCCUUCAGUUCUAAUCCUUAGCCACUCCUUCCUUCACUGAUGAACCCUGGCUUUCACUCUGGUUUCCUUCUUUAGAGACUUUAGAGAAUCAAAGUAUCUAUUUAUGAAAAGUGUCGAAUGAAUGAAUGAAUGAAUGAAUGAAUGAAUGAAUGAAUGAAUGAAUGAAUGAAGUGUUCUGAUUUCACUAGGAUUCCUGGACAGUGACACAGGUAAAAGUAAUGCAUUACAAACACUCACAUUGUUGUAAUUUUUUUUUUAUUUUUUAUUAUUAUUUGUAAUAUUUCUCAAGUCUCUGUGACAUAAGUAAUCACCCCCUGGGGCAAUAAAGUAUUUCUGAUUCUUAUUUUCUACA